GACGAACGCUGGCGGCGUGCUUAACACAUGCAAGUCGAACGGAAAGGCCCUGCUUUUGUGGGGUGCUCGAGUGGCGAACGGGUGAGUAACACGUGAGUAACCUGCCCUUGACUUUGGGAUAACUUCAGGAAACUGGGGCUAAUACCGGAUAGGAGCUCCUGCUGCAUGGUGGGGGUUGGAAAGUUUCGGCGGUUGGGGAUGGACUCGCGGCUUAUCAGCUUGGUGGUGGGGUAGUGGCUUACCAAGGCUUUGACGGGUAGCCGGCCUGAGAGGGUGACCGGCCACAUUGGGACUGAGAUACGGCCCAGACUCCUACGGGAGGCAGCAGUGGGGAAUAUUGCACAAUGUGCGGAAGCCUGAUGCAGCACGCCGCGUGCGGGAUGACGGCCUUCGGGUUGUAAACCGCUUUCGCCUGUGACGAAGCGUGAGUGACGGUAAUGGGUAAAGAAGCACCGGCUAACUACGUG
This 467-nucleotide ribosomal RNA is filed under the name uncultured bacterium. Its description in RNAcentral is "partial 16S ribosomal RNA". It matches the Rfam family "Bacterial small subunit ribosomal RNA", at positions 28 to 507 of the family's 1533-position model. The record is from RNAcentral.